This 403-nucleotide ribosomal RNA is filed under the name uncultured bacterium. RNAcentral's name for it is "partial 16S ribosomal RNA". It matches the Rfam family "Bacterial small subunit ribosomal RNA", at positions 29 to 526 of the family's 1533-position model. The record is from RNAcentral.
AUUGAACGCUGGCGGCAGGCCUAACACAUGCAAGUCGAGCGAGCGGCGGACGGGUGAGUAAUGUAUGGGGACUGCCCGAUAGAGGGGGCUAACUACUGGAAACGGUGGCUAAUACCGCAUACUAUCGGAUAACCCAUAUGGGAUUAGCUAGUAGGUGGGGUAAAGGCUCACCUAGGCGACGAUCUCUAGCUGGUAUGAGCAGAUGAUCAGCCACACGUGGACUGAGACACGGCCCAGAAUCCUACGGAGGAAGCAGGGGGGAAUAGGGCAGAAUGGGAGCAAGCCUGAUGGAGCAAUGCCGCGUGUAUGAAGAAGGCCUUAGGGUUGGAAAGUACUUUCAGCGGGGAGGCGUUACCCGCAGAAGAAGCACCGGCAAACUCCGUGCCAGCAGCCGCGGUAAUAC